AGUGAACGCUGGCGGUAGGCCUAACACAUGCAAGUCGAACGGCAGCACAGAGGAGCUUGCUCCUUGGGUGGCGAGUGGCGGACGGGUGAGGAAUACAUCGGAAUCUACUCUGUCGUGGGGGAUAACGUAGGGAAACUUACGCUAAUACCGCAUACGACCUACGGGUGAAAGCAGGGGAUCUUCGGACCUUGCGCGAUUGAAUGAGCCGAUGUCGGAUUAGCUAGUUGGCGGGGUAAAGGCCCACCAAGGCGACGAUCCGUAGCUGGUCUGAGAGGAUGAGCAGCAAGACUGGAACUGAGACACGGUCCAGACUCCUACGGGAGGCAGCAGUGGGGAAUAUUUGACAAUGGGCGCAAGCCUGAUCCAGCCAUACCGCGUGGGUGAAGAAGGCCUUCGGGUUGUAAAGCCCUUUUGUUGGGAAAGAAAUCCAUCUGGUUAAUACCCGGGUGGGAUGACGGUACCCAAAGAAUAAGCACCGGCUAACUUCGUGCCAGCCGCCGCCGUAA
This 506-nucleotide ribosomal RNA is filed under the name uncultured bacterium. Its description in RNAcentral is "partial 16S ribosomal RNA". It matches the Rfam family "Bacterial small subunit ribosomal RNA", at positions 29 to 523 of the family's 1533-position model. The record is from RNAcentral.